AGAUAAUGAAGUAAAAAUUACAUUUAGUUUCGACCUAAAAUUUAGAAUAUAAUUAUUCCUUAUCUA
Molecule: transfer RNA, 66 nt
Filed under: Coptosoma parvipictum
Lineage: Eukaryota; Metazoa; Arthropoda; Insecta; Hemiptera; Plataspidae
Description: tRNA-Arg
Source: RNAcentral